ACACGUAUCAUAAUAGCUUAGAUUUCUGUAAAAGUACAACAACAUCUGGCUAGAGAUAAUCAAUAUAAUUCAGUGAAUGAAGAAAAUAGUUGCUUCGAAUAACUUUUCCAACCAAGAAAGCAACUAUGUUUGUUUCAAAUCAGAUUCGUUGCAAACUACCAGCUAAAUCUUUUCAUACUUUAUGAAAUCUCAAAUUGGUCUUUGGAACAACUUUGCGGAAACACGUCCAGCAUUCUACCACGAGGGACGCUACGACCUAGCACACAUAUAACGUAAAAACUGUCGGAAAACCACUAAUCUGUGAAAAAAACUUUAAUCGUAUUAAUUGUAUUAUAGGAGUUGUCAAAUAAUGUAACAAUAAACUAUUUGCAAUUUA
Long non-coding RNA from Xenia sp. Carnegie-2017, 376 nucleotides. RefSeq lists it as uncharacterized. The transcript is spliced from 2 exons. NCBI's taxonomy places the organism in Eukaryota, Metazoa, Cnidaria, Anthozoa, Malacalcyonacea, Xeniidae. The record is from RefSeq and is a predicted model, not a curated record.